UAGUACGGCGAGUGAAGAGGAAAGAGCUCAAAGUUGGAACCUGUUUGGCUUAGCUAAACCGGAUUGUAAACUCGUAGAAGUGUUUUCCAGACACGCCUGGUAAAAAAGUCCUUUGGAACAGGGCAUCAUAGAGGGUGAGAAUCCCGUCAUUGGCCAGAGCUGUUGUCUUUUGUGAUACAUUUUCAAAGAGUCAGGUUGUUUGGGAAUGCAGCCUAAAUUGGGUGGUAAAUCUCACCUAAAGCUAAAUAUUUGCGAGAGACCGAUAGCGAACAAGUACCGUGAGGGAAAGAUGAAAAGAACUUUGAAAAGAGAGUUAAACAGUAUGUGAAAUUGUUAAAAGGGAACCGUUUGGAGCCAGACUGGCUUGAUCGUAAUCACUCUAGGCUUUGGCCUGGAUGCACUUGCGGUCUAUGCCGGCCAACGACAGUUUUGUUUGAGGGAAAAAAUUACAUUGAAUGUGGCCCUUCGGGGUGUUAUAGCUUUGUAAAAAAUACCUUGGACGGGACUGAGGAACGCAGCGAAUGCCUUUAGGCGAGAUUGCUGGGUGCUUGCGCUGAUACAUGCUAGAAUUUCUGCUUUGGGUGGUGCUAGUGUGUAAAGGAGUAACCCGCUUAGUAUAUUUUUUAUUCGCUUAGGUUGUUGGCUUAAUGACUCUAAAUGACCCGUCUUGAAA
This 673-nucleotide ribosomal RNA is filed under the name Mucor irregularis. RNAcentral describes it as "partial large subunit ribosomal RNA". It matches the Rfam family "Eukaryotic large subunit ribosomal RNA", at positions 81 to 659 of the family's 3401-position model. The record is from RNAcentral. Lineage: Eukaryota; Fungi; Mucoromycota; Mucoromycetes; Mucorales; Mucoraceae.